UACGUAGGGUGCGAGCGUUGUCCGGAAUUAUUGGGCGUAAAGGGCUCGUAGGCGGUUUGUCGCGUCGGGAGUGAAAUCCACUGGCUUAACUGGUGGCUUGCUUUCGAUACGGGCAGACUGGAGGUAUGCAGGGGAGAACGGAAUUCCUGGUGUAGCGGUGAAAUGCGCAGAUAUCAGGAGGAACACCGGUGGCGAAGGCGGUUCUCUGGGCAUGUCCUGACGCUCAGGUGCGAAAGCUAGGGGAGCGAACAGG
This 253-nucleotide ribosomal RNA is filed under the name uncultured bacterium. Its description in RNAcentral is "partial 16S ribosomal RNA". It matches the Rfam family "Bacterial small subunit ribosomal RNA", at positions 524 to 776 of the family's 1533-position model. The record is from RNAcentral.